UGCUAAGGUCGUUUGUAGUGUUUCAUAGAU
RNAcentral lists this non-coding RNA (30 nucleotides) under Mus musculus (house mouse). Lineage: Eukaryota; Metazoa; Chordata; Mammalia; Rodentia; Muridae. The record is from RNAcentral.